CUACUUCAUAAUAGUCAACUCCAGGAAGAGGAUCUGAGCAUUAGAAGACUAAAACUUGUCUGUGGUGAUAUUAUUGGAGCUUUGUGGCAAACCAAGCCUGAAUCCUGAAAUCUCUGGACUUUGCAGUUAUGUGAAAUAAGAUAUUUCCUUAAUUUUCAAUCAAGGUGAUCCAAAAACCUACCAACCCCGAAUAUUGCCAAGGACAAGAAAACAAGCUCCACUUGGUCCAAAACACAAAGCAAGUAACUCUUAAGAGGUAUUGCAAGAAUGGACUGCUUUAUGGAAGAUAGAACAAGCCUCAUUCUUAAAAUCAUAGAGAAGACUCUUUGGAGAAAUACUGCUUGACUGACUCCCUUCUGAACUCCGAAUGAAAAGGCCAAUGAUUGAUUAGGCAGAACUUUCAUGAGAUUAUCUGAUCAUCUGCACAUGCAUUACAGUGCAUCACUAUAAGGCUUGCAUUGCAGAUUAGAAGUGGGAUUUUGGAACAAGGCAGGAAUAGGCUCUGAAGGGAAGGCUAAUUUGCAUGAGCAAUUGGAUCACCCUUCAGAAUGUCAAAUGUUUAUCCCUGCAUGUCUCUCGGUCCACACCUAUAAAGCAAGAAGGUCAUUGUGGCUUGAAGGGAGUAAAGCAAGAGAAGGAGGGGGAGACUUUUUAGCUGAGUCCACUGUGUCCAGUAUUUGUUCUGGCCAAGGCCUAUUAGAUGUGAUAAAUUCUCUGGAUUCAGUUAGUUUAUGAAACAGAUCAAACGUACAUUUGUUUUCAGAUAAUUUGAAAACAAAAGUCAAACAAAGAGCUGUAAUUGUUCAACUCCUUAGCUAAUCUCUGGGCCUUCAAACCUACAUUAACGAUGAGAAGCCUGCUUAAUUAGUACCAUCUCCCAAAUGAGACAUCCUUUCCAAUUCUCCUCUCUAUGGCCGUGAAGGACAGUGGACCAGGGAAGUCUUCCUGAGAGCAGACCUGGGGCAGGCUGACUGGCUAAACAAAUGAAUUAUUCCACUACCAAGUGAGGACGAUCUUUUUAAAUAAAUGUUGAUUUGUAGGGAAUGCUCUGCCACUUGUAUGACAUGACCAUCUUUCCUUUCUCUUUUUUUCACAAUUGUACCAUUGUAUUGUAAUGGUUUUAAUGGGGUUGAU
RNAcentral lists this long non-coding RNA (1134 nucleotides) under Equus caballus (horse). Its description in RNAcentral is "lncRNA (ENSECAG00000053456.1)". Lineage: Eukaryota; Metazoa; Chordata; Mammalia; Perissodactyla; Equidae. The record is from RNAcentral.